GACGAACGCUGGCGGCGUGCUUAACACAUGCAAGUCGAACGGACGAGUGAGAUAAGUUACUUAACUCACAAGUUAGUGGCGGACGGGUGAGUAACACGUGGAUAAUCUACCUGCAACACCGGGAUAACGCUGUGAAAACGGUGCUAAUACCGGAUACGUCCCUUGUGCGCAUGUAUGAGGGAAGAAAGCUCAGGCGGUUGCAGAUGAGUCCGCGGCUGAUUAGCUAGUUGGUGAGGUAAAGGCUCACCAAGGCGAUGAUCAGUAGCCGGCCUGAGAGGGUGAACGGCCACACUGGGACUGAGACACGGCCCAGACUCCUACGGGAGGCAGCAGUGGGGAAUCUUCCGCAAUGGGCGCAAGCCUGACGGAGCAACGCCGCGUGGGUGAAGAAGGCCUUCGGGUUGUAAAGCCCUGUCUUAUGGGAAGAAGUCAGUGACGGUACCAUAGGAGGAAGCCACGGCUAACUACGUG
Molecule: ribosomal RNA, 471 nt
Filed under: uncultured bacterium
Lineage: Bacteria
Description: partial 16S ribosomal RNA
Rfam family: Bacterial small subunit ribosomal RNA
Source: RNAcentral